This 467-nucleotide ribosomal RNA is filed under the name uncultured bacterium. RNAcentral's name for it is "partial 16S ribosomal RNA". It matches the Rfam family "Bacterial small subunit ribosomal RNA", at positions 28 to 507 of the family's 1533-position model. The record is from RNAcentral.
GACGAACGCUGGCGGCGUGCUUAACACAUGCAAGUCGAACGGAAAGGCCCUGCUUUGUGGGGUGCUCGCGUGGCGAACGGGUGAGUAACACGUGAGUAACCUGCCCUUGACUUUGGGAUAACUUCAGGAAACUGGGGCUAAUACCGGAUAGGAGCUCCUGCUGCAUGGUGGGGGUUGGAAAGUUUCGGCGGUUGGGGAUGGACUCGCGGCUUAUCAGCUUGUUGGUGGGGUAGUGGCUUACCAAGGCUUUGACGGGUAGCCGGCCUGAGAGGGUGACCGGCCACAUUGGGACUGAGAUACGGCCCAGACUCCUACGGGAGGCAGCAGUGGGGAAUAUUGCACAAUGGGCGGAAGCCUGAUGCAGCAACGCCGCGUGCGGGAUGACGGCCUUCGGGUUGUAAACCGCUUUCGCCUGUGACGAAGCGUGAGUGACGGUAAUGGGUAAAGAAGCACCGGCUAACUACGUG